Molecule: ribosomal RNA, 505 nt
Filed under: uncultured bacterium
Lineage: Bacteria
Description: partial 16S ribosomal RNA
Rfam family: Bacterial small subunit ribosomal RNA
Source: RNAcentral
GACGAACGCUGGCGGCGUGCCUAAUACAUGCAAGUAGAACGCACAGUUUAUACCGUAGCUUGCUACACCAUAGACUGUGAGUUGCGAACGGGUGAGUAACGCGUAGGUAACCUGCCUGGUAGCGGGGGAUAACUAUUGGAAACGAUAGCUAAUACCGCAUAAUAUUAAUUAUUGCAUGAUAAUUAAUUGAAAGGUGCAAUUGCACCACUACCAGAUGGACCUGCGUUGUAUUAGCUAGUAGGUGAGGUAACGGCUCACCUAGGCGACGAUACAUAGCCGACCUGAGAGGGUGGUCGGCCACGCUGGGACUGUGACACGGCCCAGACUCCUACGGGAGGCAGCAGUAGGGCAUCUUCGGCAAUGGGCGAAAGUCUGACCGAGAAACGCCGCGUGAGUGAAGAAGGUUGUCGGAUCGUAAAGCUCUGUUGUAAGAGAAGAACGGGUGUGAGAGUGGAAAGUUCACACUGUGACGGUAUCUUACCAGAAAGGGACGGCUAACUACGUG